ACGUAGGACGCAAGCGUUAUCCGGAGUUACUGGGCGUAAAGCGCGGGCAGGCGGCUCGAUGCGUCUGAUGUGAAAUCUCCUCGCUCAACGGGGAGAGGCCAUUGGAAACGGUCGAGCUGGAGGGCAGUAGAGGCAGGCGGAAUUCCGGGUGGAGUGGUGAAAUGCGUAGAUAUCGAGAGGAACACCUGCGGCGAAGGCGGGUUGCUGGGCCGACACUGACGCUGCAGCGCGAAAGCCAGGGGAGCGAACGGGA
RNAcentral lists this ribosomal RNA (253 nucleotides) under uncultured prokaryote. Its description in RNAcentral is "partial 16S ribosomal RNA". It matches the Rfam family "Bacterial small subunit ribosomal RNA", at positions 525 to 777 of the family's 1533-position model. The record is from RNAcentral.